Molecule: ribosomal RNA, 253 nt
Filed under: uncultured bacterium
Lineage: Bacteria
Description: partial 16S ribosomal RNA
Rfam family: Bacterial small subunit ribosomal RNA
Source: RNAcentral
UACAGAGGGGGCAAGCGUUAUUCGGAAUUAUUGGGCGUAAAGGGCGCGUAGGCGGCGAUUCAAGUGACGGGUGAAAUCCCUCGGCUUAACCGAGGAACUGCCUGUCAGACUGGAUUGCUUGAGGCCGGGAGAGGCGAGUGGAAUUCCCAGUGUAGCGGUGAAAUGCGUAGAUAUUGGGAGGAACACCAGUGGCGAAGGCGGAUCGCUGGACCGGUUCUGACGCUGAGGCGCGAAAGCGUGGGGAGCAAACAGG